Non-coding RNA from Lolium perenne, 1512 nucleotides. The record is from RefSeq and is a predicted model, not a curated record. Lineage: Eukaryota; Viridiplantae; Streptophyta; Magnoliopsida; Poales; Poaceae.
CACGCAGCAAGCAACAUCUCGAGCCCCACGCCCCUGCCAUCUUAGGUCUCCCACGCACGCAAGGCUCCUCUGCCCACACUAUCGGCCUCAUCUCCCACCGUCCCACGGCGGCGACGCCCCACUGCAUGUCCGCCUCCUACCAUUCUUCUCGUCGACGUCGUAGGAUUAGGAGCGGGGAAACAACAUCCGAGGACCACGGCGGUGUGCCGGUGUGCGCAGACGGGGCUGCAGCGCCAGCGAUCUGCAUCCGGUGGAUCGGUGGCCAGCAUCGUGAUCUGAAGCAAGGAGAUAUUGAUGUUGGGAUCAUCGUUGAGGGGAGGGGCUGAAGCGGUUGGAGGCGAAGCAGAUCACGUCGCUGGGCGGUCGGGGAAGGUCGAGUGCUCGUCGACUCGGCUUCUGAAAAAGAGGAUCACCCUCACAGGUGCAGGCGGAUGAGUGGAGUCGCCCGGCUGAGGGCUACAGAGGAAGUCGAAUUCCAAGCGCCACGGCCGGCUGAUUCUGCUACCCUGAUGUGUUCAUUCCUUCUUUUUUUCUCAUCGCUUCCCACAUCUGUUGUAUGUCUCUUGGGCUCUUGACAGGUAGGAGAAAUUACUUUACACGGGAACGCAAGAUACAUGGAGAAGGAUGCACAUGGACCGCUGCUAGGAAGGUUGGCUGUUCUGAAACUAGCUAUUUCUGUUUUCCAUUUGUCUAAACGUUGCUCUAUUCCAGCUUGUAGCUGCAUCGUCAAGAUAUUCAGGUUCCUCGUGUUUCCUACAUGUUUGUUUCCACAUUUACCUUUGAUUACAGCCUCAACUGUACUGACACUACUUACUAUUGAGGGAGAGUUCAUACUGUUUGGAGAAAUUGGAGAAGCACUUGUUGGUAAACAGAAGGCUCUCCCGUACGCCACCAUGACCAGGUUGUUUCAUGGAUACAACAAGUGAUGAGACACACUUCUUGGCAGCGUUACUAUGAUACUUGUUCUUCUAUUUUCCUUGCUUUACUGAACUUAUUUUGUUCUCCUUUGUAGUAGCAUGAUUGGAGGCUAGAAAGAAUAUGCGCUUCAAUUAUGGUGUGUGCCGUUGCUCUCAUAGUGUAAAGAACCCAUGUUGAUGCCUUAAGUCCAGCACGCAUGUCACACUCUUGUCAGCAGAAGAACGGGAAUUCGUCCUCAACCAAGGUUUCUGAGAAGGAGUAGUCAGUUGUCACAUGGUGAGUUGAACCACGAAAAUGACAAGGUUAAGAAAUUGUUCUUCUGGGAGGCGAUGGAACUGAGGAAUGUGUUCAUAGCGACAUUGGUUAACAAUAUAAACUGAUUGCGAGAGUUAGAUUCUUUUGAGCUGGUAGGUUAUUUCUCUUAUUGCUGAUCUUAUUGCACCUACAUCUCAUGAAAAAUAGAAGAAUCUAUUGUUUACUAAUAUCUUUGUUUAAUUGUGAGGAUAUUGGCACCUACACUAUAUAUCUUCAUUUGGUGGCCCUGUUGUUGUCUUUGGCUAGCAUUUGAGUAAAGAUACAGUUUGGUUGUUCUUC